RNAcentral lists this ribosomal RNA (254 nucleotides) under uncultured bacterium. Its description in RNAcentral is "partial 16S ribosomal RNA". It matches the Rfam family "Bacterial small subunit ribosomal RNA", at positions 524 to 776 of the family's 1533-position model. The record is from RNAcentral.
UCCGUAGGGGCCUAGCGUUGUCCGGAUUUAUUGGGCGUAAAGAGCUCGUAGGCGGUUCGGUAAGUCAGGGGUGAAAUCUCCACGCUCAACGUGGAGGGGCCACCUGAUACUGCCGUGACUCGAGUCCGGUAGGGGAGUGUGGAAUUCCCGGUGUAGCGGUGAAAUGCGCAGAUAUCGGGAGGAACACCAGUAGCGAAGGCGGCACUCUGGGCCGGAACUGACGCUGAGGAGCGAAAGCGUGGGGAGCGAACAGG